GCCACUGCUAGGACACUCAACAGGGAACCCGAAGCAGCAAGAGAUCCAGGAGCAGCCCAGCUACUGCUUGGCUCUCACAAAAUGGUCGCCUUGGAACUCUUUAUGGAAAAGGAGAAAACACCACCACCACCGUUUCCUAACCCUGCACUGAAUGUGAAGACAACAACCACCCACCCCCAAAGGAAACUCUGCCAGGGUACAUGUAUAGUACCUACAGCAUUGAUCAAGUAUUUUGGAUCAAUAAGUGAGGUUGUACUGUUGACUGUUUUCAUCUCAUUAAUGAACGACACAUCGCUGAAGCUCACGGUGAAGUCUCAACCUCCAGUUUGCAGACUACGUGGCACCAUUUUACAGACACACGCUUGCACUUUCCCUCUACCACUAUACUCCAAGUUCCUGGCUGGCACUGGAGUUACAUCCUUAGCAUGUACACCAUAACCUCCAGGUGAGGUAAGUAUGAUUACUCUCAUUUUGAAAAAAUCUACAAUCUGAGGCUCAAAAGAGAGUAGGUCAUGUUUCUGAGAUCACAGUACUAGUAAGUGCUGUCCUUUUGAUAACUUUGUUCUCAUGGGCUCCAAAGCCCCCUUUCUUUCAUCUACCACACUGUCCCCAAGAUGAACGGGGGAAAAGCCAUACUUCAGCCUGAUAUAUUAUAAGCAAUGGUACCUGUAAAGCUGGUUUUACAUUUCAGGAAAUGGGAUUAAGUUUAGAAUCUGAGUAAUUAUACCCACAGGUUGAAGUUGAAUCU
This 748-nucleotide long non-coding RNA is filed under the name Felis catus (domestic cat). Its description in RNAcentral is "lncRNA (ENSFCAG00000046941.1)". Lineage: Eukaryota; Metazoa; Chordata; Mammalia; Carnivora; Felidae. The record is from RNAcentral.